RNAcentral lists this long non-coding RNA (1670 nucleotides) under Olea europaea subsp. europaea. Lineage: Eukaryota; Viridiplantae; Streptophyta; Magnoliopsida; Lamiales; Oleaceae. The record is from RNAcentral.
CAGAAAGUGAGGUGAGUUUAGAGUGAAUUAGCGGCUGUCGGCACGAAAACCGAAGCAAAGAAAGUUGUUGAAUUAACAAGGCUGUCGACUGCUGAAAUUUAUCUCCAUACACAAAGAAAUUUCGACUGCUGGGUGAAGGAAUUGGGUUGCUUACUGUUGAAAUCAAUACAUGCGCAAAAAGAGAUAGGAAAGGGAGAAUUACACAAACGGAGUUGUUCGGCUGGAGCAUAAUUGAAAACUUAUUCACGUUCCAUCAAUUCCCGGUGAUGAAUUUCCUAAUAAACUUGUGUUUUUCCUCCAUUAUUAUGUGUAGCUAAAUUUGAUUUUAGGGCGAACAACGUAACUUGUUUAGAACCCUUUAUUUCGUUGAAUUAAGAUUCUAGUACUUUUAUAUUUUAUGUGUUGAUUUUAAUGUUGAUUCUUAAUGCAUUUAAUUACUUGAUCACUAAUUAGAUGAUUUGUGAACAAUAAUUGCGUAGAUAUGCAGAUUAUUUUUUAGACCACAUGUUAAAAAUCCGAUAAAUCGAUAUAACGAGUAGAAAUACAUAUAUUGAUUGCUGCGGUCGUGUGUGAAUUCUUAGAGCCAAUGUUUCGUUUAAUUAAAUUUAAUUUGCAUACAGAUAUGGAAUUGAACUAAUUAAAUAGGCUUUAACGAGAACUCGAGAGGGAUAAGUUGAAUACCAUAGAAAAAUUCGACCGAACACUACUUUAGGUUGUAUGAAUCUUGAUUUAUGAAAUAAAGGUGACCAUUAGGUGAAAUUGGUCCACCCUAAAGUCCUUUAUUAUUUGAAUUCUCACUCAUUUUCUGUUGCAUCCAUUCGCAUUCUUUUAGUAGUUAGAAAAAAAAAAUCGCAUUCAAUCGUUGUUUUCGUUUAUUUUCGUCAAAUAAAAGUUAGGUAUAAUAAAUUAAGCAUUAAAAGUAUAGUUCUCGUGGGAACGAUAAUCCGGACUCAAAAGGUCCACUUUACUACUUGUUACGAUCCGUUCACUUGCGGGAUAAAAUCGAUAACAAGUUUUUGGUGCCGUUGCCGGGGACUAUUUCUUCUAAUCUCAAUUAAUUUUUAUUUUAACAAUUAUUUGAUUUGUUUAUUUUUCUUUUAUUUACAGAAAAUUGUGUUCGUUGUAUGCUCCGUGCCAAAGGCGAACAUCUUGAACCGUUUGAUUCGAAGAUAGAACGUACCUUCAGACGAAGAUGCAAAGAACACAAACAAAAAAAGCAACAUCAAAUGGUUGACAAUCAACAAAUUCCUAGACCUAUUCAGCCGAUUGGACAAAUAGUCGCAAGAGUGGUGGCACCACCGGAACAACAGUAUCAGCGAGGGGAAAUAAAUGAAGGUGAUUUGCCAGUAUCAAUGUUCUUGACACCUAUAGUAGCACACAUGCGCUCCAGUAUCGUGUAUACAGAUUUUGGGGUGAAUAACUUUUAGAUCAUGCCAGAUUGGAUUAACUUGAUGAGCAACACCCUGCAAUUCUAUGGGCUACCUCAUGAGAAUCCAAACACGCAUAUCUCUAAAUUUCUUAGAAACUGUCAGAACUUUCAUACUCCGGGGAUCAAUGAAGAUGCUAUUAAAUUAAAACUAUUCCCGUUUACAUUGAAAGAUGUUGCAUUGGAGUGGUUAGAUGCUGAGCCUCACGCCAGCAUUACAACAUGGGAAGAACUAACCAGGAAG